Molecule: long non-coding RNA, 1537 nt
Organism: Oryzias melastigma (Indian medaka)
Lineage: Eukaryota; Metazoa; Chordata; Actinopteri; Beloniformes; Adrianichthyidae
Exons: 6
Source: RefSeq, a predicted model, not a curated record
AGUUCUUUCAACCUAUUUUUGUGAGUCAGGUCAACUAAAAUUUUUCAAAAAGUAGAGACAACUAGAAAUAUUAAGUUUUGAUCCUUCCAACAAAAACAGUAGUACAGUCUACUUCAAACUUUAAGUUCGGGCAACUAGUACUUAAGUGUGACGGGACUUGCGCAUGCUCUGUACACUGCCCCUGGACAGUGUCAUAGGUCAACCUGUGCCUGCACGACCGCAUGAUGAAAUCACGGCGUCCAUUUUCUUUUCCAGUUGGAGCUCAAUUUGGCGGACUCAAUUUGGAGGAAUAUUUUUUCUAAAAUAAUUUUUAAUUUUCAAGGUAAUUUCAAAGAUUUAAAAGUUACCCAUCAUGGAUGGUCGAGAUGAGUUUGCGCUGAGCAGAGCGGGGGAGGGGCGAAAGCUCCCCACACACGCAGCUGCGCAGGCGCCGUUCACGAGGGAAAGACAGGUAAAUAAUGCUGCAUUUACACCGGGCCCUUGCGGUGCCACCUCUGUACGUGGUCUUGUAAACGUGAACACCGGACCAGCGCCAAACAAGCAGGCUGGUGCUGAGUUUACACGCCUGGUAUCUGCUGACCUUCUGAAGUCCUUCCUGAGUGGACAUGACCAGUAUUUGCCAAGGUUGAUCAACUUGUAUGAAGAAGUACACAAAACAAACCUGAGACAUGACAUCAAUCUCCAGUCUUCAUGAUUCUGUAAGUCGGCCUCGGCAGCCUGUCUGCGUUUUGCCCAUGAAAACAAACAUCAGAAGUUUUGCAAAGAUGUACCGAACCGGAGAUCCACUGCAGUUCUUGCACUUCCAUUCAUCUUUGAAGAGGAUCGCUCAACCUUCAUUAAGUUGGCAGAGACCACUGACGCUGCAGGGGUACCAACAGUGAUGAAGGGGGUGAGCGUUCGCCUACGGAUCACCAUGGAGAAAAAUGCAGAGAUGACAACCCAGUCAAAGAACUUUGUGAAUGUUGCUGUAAUCCUGGAGGAGUACAUCGUUUUGCGUGAGUUGCGAUAUGUACCAAAUGGCUUUGCAGAGCUGAUUGGACAACUUUACUGCUUCAACAUUGAUUAUCUGAAGUAACUGAAGUACACCUUUAAGUUCAUCCAGAACUUCAGGGGUAGAGUGGGCUCUGUUUGGGUUCAUAGACUGUUGAACAAACUGCUUCAGUGCACAAUGUCGAAACGUUCUUCAGAAUAGAGCAGCUGCCAUGCCAUUUUUGUUUGAACACUGUUCAGUAAAUACAUUUUAAGGAAUUGACAUGUGUGUAAUGUUUUAGAUGUCCUGUUUAUAGAACAACACAAAAAAUAUUCUGCAGACAUUCCUGCAUUAAUUUAGUCAGACCUGUUUUAGGCACAUUUGCAUUUGUGAUCUUUAAAGUCUGCUGUUGUGUGACACAUAAGAGAAAGUAAGUUUCUGUAUUUGUUCAAGUUUAAACGAGCGCAAACAGAAAUAUCUUCUUCCACUGUGACAUUUGUUAAAGACUCACUCCAAUGAAAAUACUCUUUUUUGUGUGUGUUUAAUUUGUUCUUGUAGCAUUUUUCU